AAUUAUAUACUUUAUGUAUAGGGUGAUGAAUAAAUAAAUUUAGAAAAAACUUCAAAUACCUUUCACGUGAUUUCGCAUAUUUUUAUUUUAGUAUCACGUGGUUUAAAGUGUAUCAAUUUAAUAUCUCGUAAUUUUUUUUUUUUGUCUUCUCUACUAUUUUUUUUAAUUAAUAAAAAAAUUAAAAUUAAAGGAUACUAAAAUGAAUAUUCAAUAAACUUAAGUAAAAUAUCUAAAAUUUUUAAUAUAUAAUUUAAUAAAAUAUUAACUAAGAAACUGACAGAAAAAAUAAAAAAAAAUCAUAUGGCACUAAAUUAAUAUAUUUUAAACUAUAACAUAUUAAAGUAAGAAAAUGUAAAAUUAUAAAAAUAAUAUUUAAAAUUUAUCUAUAAAUUUAUAAUAAUAAAUAAUAAAAUUAUAAAAUUGAUAAGU
This 429-nucleotide long non-coding RNA is filed under the name Ananas comosus (pineapple). RNAcentral describes it as "long non-coding RNA (ACOM_LNC007866)". Lineage: Eukaryota; Viridiplantae; Streptophyta; Magnoliopsida; Poales; Bromeliaceae. The record is from RNAcentral.